AGGUUUAGUUGCGUGCACCCCUCAAGAAACUUGUACGUGCAGGGGUUUCAGUAAAGUUCCCGGAAGCCUAUCCACGCCCCAAACUCGAGCUUAUUUCUCGAGUAGGCUGGUCAGUAGUAAACUUCUCCCACGCUGACGAGCAGGGUGAACGUGAGAACAGAAGUCUGGGAAGCGGUAUCUCCCAGGCAUUUGCUAUUGCAGGUACGUACGGUGUUUCACCUCCUGACCAGCCCGGGGCAAUAGAGCAGAUUGCUAAUCAAUGAGGCGAGCUGGGAAGGACUAUGGGCUUCGGGCCAACGACCACGUACUACCCCGCCUAAAGCCUGACAGCUCCAGCAUCUAGGGCAUCCUAACCGCCAGAUACCGACUGGUGCAGGCCCCAGACUCCCAAGCACGAAGCCAUACUAGCCAGCAGGGAGUGGUCUACACCUCUAAACCGAAAGCGAGGAUGUUCUCCGUAAAAGUUUCAAUGACUGAAAUCUACGGCGCAAGUUCUUUAACAGGCUUAUUUAUAGUAGCUUUAGGCAGCCUACUCUAAGCCUUCUGAUUGGCUCGAAGCAAAGUAAGGAAGCAGCCAAUGAAAAGCUAGACCUGCAAGUAUCUUUUACAUCCGCAUUUGUGACGACACACUAAAAUUAAUCCAAUCGCGGACGAAAUCUUACUAACCUCAUUUGAAUACCGCAUCUAUAAAUAAACGUGGCUUUGGUGCCGCGAGUUAUUUUCCCAGCUCUUAGUUAUAGCGUAUUAACUUCACGCCGCAAUGCCUGAACCCACCAAAUCCGCCCCGGCCCCGAAGAAGGGCUCGAAGAAGGCGGUGACCAAGGCGCAGAAGAAGGACGGCAAGAAGCGCAAGCGCAGCCGCAAGGAGAGCUACUCGGUGUACGUGUACAAGGUGCUGAAGCAGGUGCACCCCGACACCGGCAUCUCGUCCAAGGCCAUGGGCAUCAUGAACUCGUUCGUGAACGACAUCUUCGAGCGCAUCGCGGGCGAGGCGUCGCGCCUGGCGCAUUACAACAAGCGCUCGACCAUCACGUCCCGGGAGAUCCAGACGGCCGUGCGCCUGCUGCUGCCCGGGGAGCUGGCCAAGCACGCCGUGUCCGAGGGCACCAAGGCCGUCACCAAGUACACCAGCUCCAAGUAGACUCGCCAAAGGUGAUACUGAAAACAGCCGAAGGCCGUGGGAGCGUCCCCGAAAAUGUACGUGGGGCUUUUCUGGUCGGCCUGCUUUGCAGCGGCUCCCAUAUCUGCUUGCUCUGAGAGGCGGCCAGGGAGGGGGCCUCUCUGGGGGAGGAGGGUGGCAGAGUCUAUACUGUAUCCAAAAGUCGCAGCGGGACCGGAAGGAAACGUGUCCGGGCUCUGAGAGGCCUUCCAGUCCUGUCAGUUACUGUCGCCUCUGUCCUAGGAAGUCCUAUUUCGCUUACAGUCUUUGGGAAGCAUUCAGCUGUAAAGUCCUCUGGGCCACGAGACAGAGGCCCACUACUCAGUCCCAUCAGGUGUGUGACUGUGAUGAGGCGAUGGGUCCCCCCGGGACCGAGGCCCCCUUCUCAGCACCCUGGCCGCUUCCCUGGCGUACCCUUGAGAUGAACAACUUCAGCAGUCUCCUCCCUGACUUAUACUCCCACUGCCCUCCACACCCUGGCGGCAGCAAAGAAGACUUAGGAGAGGUGGAGAUCACGCUGGGGAAAGUUCAGAGUUCUUCACCUUCAUUUUGGUGGCGUGGGCACACAGCGCUACAUAGAAGAAAACGCUCCCUUUGCUUUACAUGGACAGCGGCACUUGACUGACCUUUCCUUUCAACAACCAUGAAAUUCGCUACCGUGGAAAGGGAACAGGAAUUGUAGGAAAGUGAAGGACUAACGUUUUCGAAUUUUGUCUAAACGUUUAACCGUGAAUGUUAAGCUGCAUUUCAUAAAUACAAAACAAUAAAAGUAUCACAGCCAAAUGGUGGCUAUUUUUUAGGAAUAGGGAGAAGAAAGAAGGUGAGAGCUGAGAAAAAGAAUGAAAGAAACAAAUGGCUACUGCGAAAGGGAGCGCCAGAGCCUGAAGACCAAGGGGAAGGCACAGAGGAAGAUCGUUGGAGAAAGGAGAGGGAAAAGAGGGAGAUGAAGAGCUAGAUCUUGUUAUGGGUUUGACCCUUCAGCUGGGAAUAGCACAUUUUACAUACCUCAAAUACGCCCCAGAUUUCUUGGGUUUGGGGGUGAGUGGAUGAUUACAAUGUUACAACAUUUGAGAGACACUCUAACCAGCAAAUGCACGUGGCGCCCUUCGAUCCGGCUCUUAACUCGCUCUGUUCAUUCUUCUUCAUUACCCUUAGCAUAACUGACAUGAAUUUGCAUAUUGCUGGUUUCCUCUUCCCAUUCUCCAGGCUCUAAGCUCCACUGGGCAGAGUUAGUCCUUUUUGCUGCUGACUCCCCAAUGCCUAAGGCUGUUCCAGACACACAGUAGGCUCUCAGUUAGGAUUUACAGCAAUCAUAACGAGUUAAAGUACACAUAUAACAACAGGGACAGGGGCCAGAGGUGAGUUGUUGCAAUGGCUCAAAAGAAUGAGAGACAGCAUUCCUGAGUCUCACUUUCCACAUCUACACAACAAAAAUAAUAGUAUACUACUUCUUAGAGCUAUUUUAGGAUUAAGUAAUAUAAUUCAUGCAAAGCUCUUAAAUCAGUCUUGAAAUAAUUUUGUAAGUGCUUAGCCAAUGUUAACAAGUAUUAGAUUUCUUUAGUCAUUGAAUUAAAAUGAAAUCAGAAGGGCCAAUUCUCUUCAGGUUAGAAACUAAAAGAAGAAAAUGCAAGCCUUUGAACUGCUUGAUUCCACCUGUGGAAGGAUAACUGGAGGAUUUGAAACAAAGAUCUUAUUGUCCAGGUUUCUCUUUACUGGUUUGAGUCAUUAUGUGUUCAUGCUAAAAAUGACUAAAGGGUAGGUAAUAUUGGAACAGAGACUCAUUAUACAAGCACAUGUAAAAAACAAAACAAAACAAAACAA
RNA transcript from Neofelis nebulosa (Clouded leopard), 2980 nucleotides. It is a transcript of the gene named histone H2B type 1-M, with no coding region annotated. The record is from RefSeq and is a predicted model, not a curated record. The transcript has 3 exons. Lineage: Eukaryota; Metazoa; Chordata; Mammalia; Carnivora; Felidae.